UACAGAGGUCUCAAGCGUUGUUCGGAUUCAUUGGGCGUAAAGGGUGCGUAGGCGGCGCGGUAAGUCGGGUGUGAAAUCUCGGAGCUUAACUCCGAAACUGCAUUCGAUACUGCCGUGCUUGAGGACUGGAGAGGAGACUGGAAUUUACGGUGUAGCGGUGAAAUGCGUAGAUAUCGUAAGGAAGACCAGUGGCGAAGGCGGGUCUCGUGGACAGUUCCUGACGCUGAGGCACGAAGGCCAGGGGAGCAAACGGGAUUAGAACCGUAC
RNAcentral lists this ribosomal RNA (267 nucleotides) under uncultured bacterium. RNAcentral describes it as "partial 16S ribosomal RNA". It matches the Rfam family "Bacterial small subunit ribosomal RNA", at positions 524 to 785 of the family's 1533-position model. The record is from RNAcentral.